Sander lucioperca (pikeperch) is the source of this 958-nucleotide long non-coding RNA. RefSeq lists it as uncharacterized. NCBI's taxonomy places the organism in Eukaryota, Metazoa, Chordata, Actinopteri, Perciformes, Percidae. The record is from RefSeq and is a predicted model, not a curated record. The transcript is spliced from 3 exons.
CGUUGACAGGUAGCGGGCAUAGUUGAUCCUGUCAUAACAGACGAACCAUGGCAUAAUGGAACGCACACUUGAUAGGUGGAGACUCAAGUUUGCCUCUCGUGUUCCUCUGAUGAAGAGGAGAAGAUCUUCAACCAUUGCAAUGUAUGUGCACCAAAAGUGGAAUGUCUUGUUGGUGGUGUUGUCUUUAAUGAAAUCUUCAUACCCUUUCAUUACCUUUUGAAAGUUCUCAGACAUUACCAGAUCUACAAAUUCUUCACCAGGGAAAGCUGUCUGCAGAUUAACAGCAGUCUUGACAGCAGCUUCACGUCCAUCUUCUGGCAGAAUGUCCAGGUAUGCCUGCCAGCGAAGUCUCUGUAGGGCUUCACACAUUAGCUUGUGUGCACGCAUGCUUCGAUUGUAUUGAUGUCCAGAUAUGACUCCCUCCACAGAUCCUGCAGCAACAACUUCAGCUUCUAUCAUGACAUCCUGAAAUCCUGCGUCUCCAAAUCGCUUCCCAAUACAAGCCAGGCAUCCAGCUGGGAGUAGAUGAGACGCUCUCCUUGGUUGUUCGGGGCCAUCAUCCAAUGCAGAGCGCAGAAUCCGGACCUUGGAGACACACUCAUCAUUGACCGGCAGUGGUUCAGCUACAUCUAUCAGUGGUUGGGCUUCACCUACAUAACAGAACAUACACAGACAGGACAUCAUAUCUCAACAACCACAGAUGACCCAUCUUGAUCUAUCGACACCACCAACAGAACCUGGCCAAGAAAGCCCAAAAACGUCUGCACUUCCUCCCACAUGCUGCUACACUGUUUUUUUUGUUUGUUUUUCUUGAAUUUGCUACACACAUAUUGCACUGCCUUUUGCUACUUGUCCCCUUGUUUAUUUAUAUUAUGUCUAGUAAUGUAAUCCACUUGCAUUGAUAUACUAUAUUAAUACAGUGUACAUGCUGUCUGCAAUGUUAAUAACUUCUCCCCUA